RNAcentral lists this long non-coding RNA (1018 nucleotides) under Anas platyrhynchos platyrhynchos (common mallard). RNAcentral describes it as "lncRNA (ENSAPLG00000018608.1)". Lineage: Eukaryota; Metazoa; Chordata; Aves; Anseriformes; Anatidae. The record is from RNAcentral.
CUUCGGCAAAAUCGCAGAGUAUCGUCAACUUUCAGGUGGAUAGGAAUUUAAAAUUAAUUCCACUUUCAUAUAUUUUUAUUUAUUUAUGUGUUAGAGUAAAAAUCAAGGGGUGGGACCCUCCAUCGGGGGCAGAUCUAUUUUGACUUCCAGGGAGAACUGCCUGGGUGUAAGAAACAUUGUCAGUUUGAGUAGAUUCCUCCCACAUCCCUUCUUACUGCUAAAAUCUGGGGUGUCACCUGGGCAAAGAGAAUAGUGGUAUGCAUCAAAUCUCAGUAAAAAUUUAAUUUCCCAAGGAAUGUUAGAAACCAUGCUUACGUUAAGGCAACCCACAGCACAGAGUUAGCCUCCUGCUGAGAGGCCAGGUCUGCAGAUCCACCUGAAAGCCACAUGGCAGUCAAAACUUUGCAUCCUAUUUUAUCUGUCUUUUUUCAUGAACAUGAUGGAGCAUACAUAAGAAAUUAUGUGAAGAGAGGGUAAAUAUUAUAUAAAAGUAUACUGCGGUAUUGUUAGUAGUGUGGUAUUUGUACUGGGAAACACAGAUCAAAUCUGCUCUUUGGUUAAAUUGCUCGCUGGACCUCUUCCUCCCUUGACUGUGGAAGGAGGUGGAAGUGACUGUCUCCUUUUGUUUCUCAGCUGUCUGCUUCAAGAUGUGAGUCCAGAUGUCUACCAGGAAACAGAUGUAUAAACUACAAAAAAGAUACAUCAGCUACAUUAUUCGCAGGCAACGCUGAAACAGGGCUGACAGAAAACCUUGAAGGUGGUAGAAGCUACACAAAAGAUCAUCUUGGUAUUUUUUUAUUUUCUCCCAGUAAUAAUGACAGACAAAUGAUGAAUCCCUGUACCUACUGCUCUGUGGAAUUCUAAAACCUUUUGCUGAGAAUAUGUUUGAGAAAAUGUGACUAUUUUAAAGCUGAUCCUGAGAUUUUGUAGGUACCUCAGGAGCUCCUUAUACAAAAUCAAAUCCUUAGAAGGGAUUUGUCCAGGAAUAAAAAGAAAGGUGAUAACCUGUUUAUAAACA